GCUAGGUGUGGUGGUGCACACCUGUAGUCCCAGCUACUUGGGAGGCUGAGGCAGGAGAAUCGCUUGAACCCAGGAGGCAGAGGUUGCAAUGAGCCCAGAUUGCGCCACUGCACUUCAGCCUGGGUGACAGAGUGAGACUCUGUCUCAA
Unclassified non-coding RNA from Papio anubis (olive baboon), 148 nucleotides. It matches the Rfam family "Metazoan signal recognition particle RNA". Rfam says of the family: The signal recognition particle (SRP) is a universally conserved ribonucleoprotein. It is involved in the co-translational targeting of proteins to membranes. The eukaryotic SRP consists of a 300-nucleotide 7S RNA and six proteins: SRPs 72, 68, 54, 19, 14, and 9. The record is from Ensembl. NCBI's taxonomy places the organism in Eukaryota, Metazoa, Chordata, Mammalia, Primates, Cercopithecidae.